Molecule: ribosomal RNA, 247 nt
Filed under: uncultured bacterium
Lineage: Bacteria
Description: partial 16S ribosomal RNA
Rfam family: Bacterial small subunit ribosomal RNA
Source: RNAcentral
ACCGCGAGGUAGGAGCAAAUCUCAAAAAAACAAUCUCAGUUCAGACUGCAGGCUGCAACUCGCCUGCACGAAGUCGGAAUUGCUAGUAAUCGUAGGUCAGCAUACUACGGUGAAUACGUUCCCGGGCCUUGUACACACCGCCCGUCACACCAUGAGAGUUGGGAAUACCCGAAGCCUGUGAGCUAACUAAUAGAGGCAGCAGUCGAAGGUAGAAUCAAUGAUUGGGGUGAAGUCGUAACAAGGUAGC